AUGGCGACGGCAGGGAAUUCGAAGGCGCCGAGUGGCGAGAAUCCGUCCUUAGGCGGGGAGCUCUAUCAGGCUGCAAUCUCUCUGCAUAAGAGUAUCAGCCGGAUCGGGGCCAAGGGGGACAUGAUGUUCGAGAUUGGUCGUCUUGACGCCGCGCAUCGCGUAACUCUGUUUGAGUUGAGAUCGGAGAUGUUCGAGCUGUCGGAAAAGAUCAGGGACGUGAUGCCCGACGCCUUUCGUAUUGAAGCUAAAGGUGAGAUGGACACUGGUGGGAGGUCGUCGAAGGGAAGUAAUGCUGCGGAUCUCGAGGAACUUCGUCAUGCGGCAUCACUGAUGCGGACAGAAAGAAAGGAGCUGCUCGAUCUGUUAGGAAAGGAGACCAAGGGGUUGUUCGCUGGCAAGGCAGGCAAUCUACCCGAAUCGAUUAGGGAGAUCCUGCUGAAAUUCAGAAAUUUUGUCGGUGACAUCAAUUCAGUAUUUGAAGCGGAACAGACCCGAAAGGAGGCAGCGGCAGUGCUAACCUUGGGCUUCAGGCUACAGUUCUUCUCCAAGCAGAUCCAUGAGCUGUGGCAAGAGAUGUGCAAGUUGCAGAGUUUGUUCUCGCCAGAGAACAAAGAUGUCAUGAGAACAAUGAUCGUUUUGAAGAAUGAGUACCUGCCCCGGAUCUGCAAGUUGCAAUGGAUUGCUAAACGUAUCAGCAUGCUGCAGCAAGUGGACCCGGAUUUUGAUUCCAAGGUGAAAUUGAUGAUGAUACAGUUGAAAUCUGAAUCUUUCUUAUCAGCUAUGGAGGAGGUGGAGAGGGGACACAUAUGCAAAUCUUCCAUGGAGGAGGAGGAGAGGAGGUUUGCUGCCUACCGUAUGAACUGGGACCGUAUAUGGGGGCACGACAAGGACUUUGAAGACCAGACGCUUUUGAGCCCCAUGCUCUAUACACAUUGCACACCGCGCCGCAUCCCAAUUGAAGCUCUAGCCGGGAGUACCUUACAGAUCUAUUCCAUUAAAAUCUCGGCAACAAAAUAUCUCACAUUGCCAGUGGAGGUGUAUGGAGUGGUAGCAGCCCGAGAUACUGCGGACCGUCACCGCAACCCUAUAUUCCUUCGCAGAAGUAACUACUGCCAAAAACUGGAAGAAAAUGAUUCCUUUUUGUGCCUGGAUGGCCCGGUUCGUGCGAUUGUGUCCAUGGGCACUGUGUACUUUGAAAUUCAACUAAAAGUAAAGGGCGCAUCAGAAUCUGAAGAUAAAGCAUUGAUCAGUACUUAUUUCUUCUACAAUGGUGACAGUUCCGGUGGGCAUGUGGCUAAGAACGACUUCUGCACAGUGGAGUUUUGCUGGGAGCAACUUCGGAAGUCAGUGCAGGCUACUAUCCUGAGUGUGCUUGUUACAUCUGUAGAUGGAAAAUUGCCUUUUCCGCAUGGUGGCAGAGUUGUUUGCUCUUCACAACCUCAGGAUGGUAAUGAAGAUAUUGCUGGGCUCUCAUCCAGGCAAGUUGUGUUGGUUGAUUCAGAAGGUGGAAGAAUGCCAAUUGCUGAACAUGGCUAUCUUGAGCUGUCAAGAGAAGUAGUUUCUGUGGAAUUGAAUGGAAAGUUAAAAGUCCUUAUAGAGGCCUAUUCGACAACACAAUCUGCUGAGAGUGCUCAAGUCAUCUUAAUAACACCAAAAAAAUCCAACAUAACUAAAGUUGCAUGUAGCCUAUAUGCUGGUGGCCCUAAGGUGGAGAUUACUGUUGCUUGGUCCCUCAUUCCGUCGAAGAUGCUUAAUUGA
This 1758-nucleotide ribosomal RNA is filed under the name Triticum aestivum (bread wheat). Its description in RNAcentral is "partial small subunit ribosomal RNA". Lineage: Eukaryota; Viridiplantae; Streptophyta; Magnoliopsida; Poales; Poaceae. The record is from RNAcentral.